UGAUAAACAACCUAUCAUAUCAGUUCACUUACAUUUGAAAGUUUUCUCUCAAAAUCGGAACAAUGAACAGUGUACAAUGCUACAAAGAAAUAACUAAACUACAUAAAAGUAUCGUGUAAGUGAAAAGAAAAAGAAUAUUUGUACAAUUAUGGAGAGAAGGAAGAUACGGAUAGAUAAAUAGAUAGAUAAGUAGAGAGGGGAAGAGGGGAAGAAGGGCUUUGCUUCACCAACCUUGUCUUCUUGUUGUCUCUUGCGGCGUUCCCGGCUAACUCGAGUACUUCAGCCGCCAAAUAUUCCAUCACAGCGGCCAAAUAAACAGGCGCUCCAGCUCCUACUCGUUCCGCAUAAUUUCCUUUUCUUAAAAGACGAUGGAUUCUUCCGA
This is a long non-coding RNA of Bombus impatiens (common eastern bumble bee), 382 nucleotides long. RefSeq lists it as uncharacterized. The transcript has 2 exons. The record is from RefSeq and is a predicted model, not a curated record. NCBI's taxonomy places the organism in Eukaryota, Metazoa, Arthropoda, Insecta, Hymenoptera, Apidae.